Stegodyphus mimosarum is the source of this 73-nucleotide non-coding RNA. The record is from Rfam. NCBI's taxonomy places the organism in Eukaryota, Metazoa, Arthropoda, Arachnida, Araneae, Eresidae.
GCCUUCGUGGUGUAGUGGUCAGCACACUCGGCGCGUAUUCGAGAGAUCCGUGGUUCGAGUCCUUGCGAAGGCA